GCUUCAUUCCCCUUAGGUAUUUAGGGGAUUUAGUUCAUAACUAAAUAAGAAAACAUCUCAGAAGAAUAAAAAAUACAAAACAUAAAGAAAACCCAAAACUCCUGAAGGGAAAUUGAGAGAUAUCUUCAGUCUUGAUGAUGAAUCCGACUUCUGAGAUGGAUCAAUCGGCUUCCUUGGGGUAAUUCCUUACCCCUCUUCUCCGCCUCCUCUUUCUUUCUUCUCUAGGGUAUAUUUAUAGGCUUUGGUAUGCCUAAAACCCUCAAAAUCAGCCUUUUUCUGAAUUGGACUCAACUUGGGCUCGGCAGGGACACAUCCGUGGCACACGCUUGUGUUCAAUUACUUCAGGUCGUGUUCGAGCCUGCCAAAUUGACACAGCCGUAUGGUUUACCCGUGUGAGGAGGUCUAGCCUGUGUUGAUUUCGUACUUUGGCCCAUUUUCUCCGUUUUU
Molecule: long non-coding RNA, 447 nt
Filed under: Gossypium barbadense (sea-island cotton)
Lineage: Eukaryota; Viridiplantae; Streptophyta; Magnoliopsida; Malvales; Malvaceae
Description: long non-coding RNA (GBAR_LNC007936)
Source: RNAcentral